AUUGAACGCUGGCGGCGUGCUUAACACAUGCAAGUCGUGCGGUAACAGGCGUAGCAAUACGUGCUGACGAGCGGCGAACGGGUGCGUAAUACAUGGGAAUCUGCCCUUUAGUGGGGAAUAACCCGGCGAAAGCCGGGCUAAUGCCGCAUAAGAUCUUCGGAUGAAAGCGGGGGAGUCGUAAGACCUCGCGCUGAUGGAUGAGCCCACUGCCGGAUUAGUCAGUUGGUGAGGUAACGGCUCACCAAGGCGACGAUCCGUAGCUGGUCUGAGAGGACGGCCAGCCACACUGGGAC
Molecule: ribosomal RNA, 293 nt
Filed under: uncultured bacterium
Lineage: Bacteria
Description: partial 16S ribosomal RNA
Rfam family: Bacterial small subunit ribosomal RNA
Source: RNAcentral